Molecule: ribosomal RNA, 383 nt
Filed under: uncultured bacterium
Lineage: Bacteria
Description: partial 16S ribosomal RNA
Rfam family: Bacterial small subunit ribosomal RNA
Source: RNAcentral
CCUACGGGAGGCAGCAGUGGGGAAUAUUGGGCAAUGGAGGAAACUCUGACCCAGCAAUGCCGCGUGAAUGAAGAAGGUCUUCGGAUUGUAAAGUUCUUUAGUUAGGGAAGAAUAAACUGACGGUACCUGACGAAUAAGCGCCGGCUAACAACGUGCCAGCAGUCGCGGCAAUACGGAGGGAGCAAGCGUUGUUCGGAAAGUCUGGGCGUAAAGGGUGGGUAGGCGGUGUUACAAGUGAGAAGUGAAAUACCCAGGGCUUAACUCGGGUGCUGCUUCUAAAACUGUAAGACUUGAGUGGGAGAGAGGUUAGUGGAAUUCGUGGUGUAGCGGUGGAAUGCGUAGAUAUUAGGAGGAACACCGGAGGCGAAGGCAGCAAGCUGGAC